RNAcentral lists this ribosomal RNA (258 nucleotides) under Triticum aestivum (bread wheat). RNAcentral's name for it is "partial small subunit ribosomal RNA". Lineage: Eukaryota; Viridiplantae; Streptophyta; Magnoliopsida; Poales; Poaceae. The record is from RNAcentral.
AUGGAUGAUUGCAGUGACGAUCUUCUAAAUUUGAAAGAUAAAUGGAUGUUCCUAGUUCUCACCUAUGAACUUGUGCAGAAGAGCAAGGCCAAGAAAGACUCCAACAAUCCCAAGCGCCCCCCUGAGCGUUGCCUUAGUCCUCAUGUUUGCAAGGUCGGUGGUGAGAAGUGGAAGGGGACGCGACACGCCAAGCAGCAGCAAGGGGAGGGGGUCUCUAAAAUGUUGCCGAUGUCGCCCAUUGCUAGUAUCACCGAUUGA